AGCAGCCGCGGUAAUUCCAGCUCCAAUAGCGUAUAUUAAAGUUGUUGCAGUUAAAAAGCUCGUAGUUGAAUUUCGAGAUCAAAUUGUUGGUCGUGCCUCGGUACGUACUGGCAUUAUUGAUUUCUCCCUUCUGAAGAACCACGAUGUCAUUAAUUUGGUGUCGUGGGGAAUCAGGACCGUUACUUUGAAAAAAUUAGAGUGUUUAAAGCAGGCUCACGCUUGAAUACAUUAGCAUGGAAUAAUGAAAUAGGACGUUUGAUUCUAUUUUGUUGGUUUCUAGGAUCGACGUAAUGAUUAAUAGGGAUAGUUGGGGGCAUUAGUAUUCAAUCGUCAGAGGUGAAAUUCUUGGAUUUAUUGAAGACUAACUACUGCGAAAGCAUUUGCCAAGGAUGUUUUCAUUAAUCAAGAACGAAAGUUAGGGGAUCGAAGACGAUCAGAUACCGUCGUAGU
Molecule: ribosomal RNA, 450 nt
Filed under: uncultured Glomeromycotina
Lineage: Eukaryota; Fungi; Glomeromycota
Description: SSU rRNA
Rfam family: Eukaryotic small subunit ribosomal RNA
Source: RNAcentral